This 253-nucleotide ribosomal RNA is filed under the name uncultured bacterium. RNAcentral's name for it is "partial 16S ribosomal RNA". It matches the Rfam family "Bacterial small subunit ribosomal RNA", at positions 524 to 776 of the family's 1533-position model. The record is from RNAcentral.
UACGUAGGGUGCGAGCGUUAAUCGGAAUUACUGGGCGUAAAGUGUGCGCAGGCGGCGUUGCAAGUCGAGUGUGAAAGCCCCGGGCUUAACUUGGGAAUUGCGCUCGAAACUACGAUGCUGGAGUGUGGCAGAGGAAGGUGGGAUUCCACGUGUAGCGGUGAAAUGCGUAGAGAUGUGGAGGAAUACCGAUGGCGAAGGCAGCCCCCUGGGAUAACACUGACGCUCAUGCACGAAAGCGUGGGGAGCAAACAGG